Molecule: non-coding RNA, 80 nt
Organism: Drosophila mojavensis
Lineage: Eukaryota; Metazoa; Arthropoda; Insecta; Diptera; Drosophilidae
Source: Rfam
UCACUUUUCGUGUUCGAUGUUUGAACUUGGAUUUUUAAAAUAUGAAAAGAAAUCUGUUCAUUCCUCGACACUAAGAGUUU